RNAcentral lists this ribosomal RNA (253 nucleotides) under uncultured bacterium. Its description in RNAcentral is "partial 16S ribosomal RNA". It matches the Rfam family "Bacterial small subunit ribosomal RNA", at positions 524 to 776 of the family's 1533-position model. The record is from RNAcentral.
GACAGAGGGUGCGAACGUUGUUCGGAAUUACUGGGCGUAAAGCGCGUGUAGGCGGCAACGCAAGUCGGGCGUGAAAUCCCACGGCUCAACCGUGGAAGUGCACUCGAAACUGCGUAGCUAGAGUCCUGGAGAGGAAGGUGGAAUGCUUGGUGUAGAGGUGAAAUUCGUAGAUAUCAAGCGGAACACCGGUGGCGAAGGCGGCCUUCUGGACAGUGACUGACGCUGAGACGCGAAAGCGUGGGAAGCAAACAGG